Molecule: ribosomal RNA, 208 nt
Filed under: uncultured bacterium
Lineage: Bacteria
Description: partial 16S ribosomal RNA
Rfam family: Bacterial small subunit ribosomal RNA
Source: RNAcentral
UUCGUAGGUGGCCAACUAAGUCAGACGUGAAAUCCCUCAGCUUAACUGGGGAACUGCGUCUGAGACUGGAUGGCUUGAGUGCAGGAGAGGAACGCGGAAUUCCAGGUGUAGCGGUGAAAUGCGUAGAUAUCUGGAGGAACACCGGUGGCGAAGGCGGCGUUCUGGACUGCAACUGACACUGAGGAACGAAAGCCAGGGAGGCAAAACG